CCUACGGGAGGCAGCAGUAAGGAAUAUUGGUCAAUGGACGAAAGUCUGAACCAGCCAUGCCGCGUGAAGGAUUAAGGCCCUCUGGGUUGUAAACUUCUUUUAUCUGGGACGAAAAAAGGGUAUUCUUACUCACUUGACGGUACCAGAGGAAUAAGCACCGGCUAACUCCGUGCCAGCAGCCGCGGUAAUACGGAGGGUGCAAGCGUUAUCCGGAUUUACUGGGUUUAAAGGGUGCGUAGGUGGGUUUGUAAGUCAGUGGUGAAAUCUCCGAGCUUAACUCGGAAACUGCCAUUGAUACUAUAGAUCUUGAAUUAUCUGGAGGUAAGCGGAAUAUGUCAUGUAGCGGUGAAAUGCUUAGAUAUGACAUAGAACACCAAUUGCGAAGGCAGCUUACUACGGAUAUAUUGACACUGAGGCACGAAAGCGUGGGGAUCAAACAGGAUUAGAUACCCUAGUAGUC
This 460-nucleotide ribosomal RNA is filed under the name Weissella confusa. Its description in RNAcentral is "bacterial SSU rRNA". It matches the Rfam family "Bacterial small subunit ribosomal RNA", at positions 338 to 795 of the family's 1533-position model. Lineage: Bacteria; Bacillati; Bacillota; Bacilli; Lactobacillales; Lactobacillaceae. The record is from RNAcentral.